UGUCCAUUAUUUUAUUAUAUAGUUUAUUUUAAUAUAAUUAGAAUAAUGUGUGAAUUAAUAUUAUUUUGGAGUUUGGGGAGUUAAUUAGGAUUUAAUAAAAAUUAAGGGAGUUUAAUGAAAUAAAGGGGGAGUUAUAGUUUUGGGGGUUAGGAAAAGAAAGAGUCAGCAUCAGUUUUACGUGAAACAAGUUUUGGAGAGGAAAACCAAGAACAAGAGAGAAGAGCCUAGGAACCGAUUUUGCUGUGCAAUCUUUCUGCAAAUCUAAGGUAAGGGUGAGACUAUCUCUCAAUAAUCAUAGUAUAUAAUUUCUGAAAAUUGUUUUAACAUGAAUUGUUCUUGAGAUAAAAAUUGGGAAAUUAGGGUUGAUGCUGAUUUUGAAAGGAAUGGUGUAAGGAUCAUGUUUAACGUGUUGUAAUUUGAUGUUCAGAAUGAUUUCUUAAUCUAUAAUGUUGAUGUGAUCAGAAUUUGAAUGAAAUUAGAAUCGGUUGGAUAAAUUGGAGAAGUUUUGUAUGAUUGCUAGAAUGAUCUGAAACAUCUGCUGCCUGUUUUGUGUUCCUUUAGAUGCCUAGUUGUGUAUAGGACCUGUAAACAUCUGCUG
Molecule: long non-coding RNA, 598 nt
Filed under: Medicago truncatula (barrel medic)
Lineage: Eukaryota; Viridiplantae; Streptophyta; Magnoliopsida; Fabales; Fabaceae
Description: long non-coding RNA (MTRU_LNC007335)
Source: RNAcentral